CCCGCCGGCGCCGCCGCCGCCGCCGAUGGUGUUUGAGGACAUCUGGCUCGCCGUCGGCCUGCACCCGUCGGCCGGCCAUUUGGUAGGGAUCCCGAUGCUCGCCAUCCACCACUACGAGUUCAAGCCGGAGUGCUUCGCGGCGGGCCGGCAUCCGGCAUUGCAACCGUUCGCGUCGGGCCCGCGCAACUGCGUCGGCCAGGUGCACGCGCUCGUCGAGGCCAAGAUGGUGCUCGCCAUGAUGCUGCAGCACUUCCGCCUCUCCCUCCCUGGCUCCCUCCCAGUGCCGGCAGUGCGGCAGAUAAGAAGGUGGGCUUAAUUAUGGGUAUCUUAAAGUUAUAGAGGCGCUUGCUUCGAGACAGAAUUGUGAGGAUGGAGAAGUUGCAGACUGUACUGCUGCCCGAAUUGGAUUUUUUUAUUUGGAUUGGUCACUGGAACUGCCGAACUGGAAAUGUAGCUGCGGCGUGCAGUGUGUGUCAAAUUCUACCAUUCUCGAACUCUUUUUUAUGUGUGUAUUUGCUAGUGUGUAUGGGGUGCAUCUACUUGUUUGCAUAUAAGUUAUGUAUAGU
Panicum virgatum (switchgrass) is the source of this 566-nucleotide RNA transcript. It is a transcript of the gene named cytokinin hydroxylase-like, with no coding region annotated. The record is from RefSeq and is a predicted model, not a curated record. Lineage: Eukaryota; Viridiplantae; Streptophyta; Magnoliopsida; Poales; Poaceae. The transcript has 3 exons.